UUUUGCUGAAACAAUUAGGAAGGAGAGCUCUCUUUCCUGGGCAGCUGCCAAUCUGGAAGGUAUAGGCCUGGAGUUUUUGAUGGUCGUCUUUGCCACUAUCUAAGAAUAAAGCCAGUGAUGAAGGAAGCAAAGCUGAGAGAUGGACAAUUAGUCCAGCUGGCAUGGUUUGAGCACCAGUUCAACUGCAUAGAAAAAGCAAGGCAAGUGAGGGAGAGAAAAAUAUGGGACUCAGGAAAAGGAGUCAGCUUGCCUAAAGUCAAACAGGUCCAUCACAUAGUCAGGAUUCAGACCCAGAAGGCGGGAGUGCAAGGCACCACCCUCCAGCGCCUCCAGGAUUUAAGGAAAAGCCCACAUUAUACCCCAAUUCCCAUCAAGGGCAGCUGCUGGGAACAUGGCACGUGGAAGCAAAUGCCCUGCUCUGGGAUGAAGCUGUGAUAUUGUACCCCCAUCUCAACUUCAAACAUGAAAGAUACUGUGUACC
Molecule: long non-coding RNA, 481 nt
Organism: Cebus imitator (Panamanian white-faced capuchin)
Lineage: Eukaryota; Metazoa; Chordata; Mammalia; Primates; Cebidae
Exons: 2
Source: RefSeq, a predicted model, not a curated record